Molecule: ribosomal RNA, 434 nt
Filed under: uncultured bacterium
Lineage: Bacteria
Description: partial 16S ribosomal RNA
Rfam family: Bacterial small subunit ribosomal RNA
Source: RNAcentral
AUCGAACGCUGGCGGCAGGCCUAACACAUGCAAGUCGAACGAACCUUUCGGGGUUAGUGGCGGACGGGUGAGUAACACGUGGGAACGUGCCUUUAGGUUCGGAAUAACGUAGGGAAACUCGUGCGAAUACCGGAUGUGCUCUUCGGGGGAAAGUUUGAUCGCCUUUAGAGCGGCUCGCGUCUGAUUAGCUAGAUGGGUGCGGUAAUGGCGUACCAAAGCGACGAUAAGUAGCUGGUCUGAGAGGAUGAUCAGCCACAUUGGGACUGAGACACGGCCCAGACUCCUACGGGAGGCAGCAGUGGGGAAUCUUGCGCAAUGGGCGAAAGCAUGACGCAGCCAUGCCGCGUGAAUGAUGAAGGUCUUAGGAUUGUAAAAUUCUUUAACCGGGGACGAUAAUGACGGUACCCGGAGAAGAAGCCCCGGCUAACUUCGUG